GCAGUGGUGGUUCAGUGGUAGAAUUCUCACCUUCCACGUGGGAGACCUGGGUUCGAUUCCCGGCCAGUGCA
RNAcentral lists this transfer RNA (71 nucleotides) under Loxodonta africana (African savanna elephant). RNAcentral describes it as "tRNA-Gly (TCC) (tRNA-Gly-TCC-11-1)". It matches the Rfam family "tRNA". Rfam says of the family: Transfer RNA (tRNA) molecules are approximately 80 nucleotides in length. Their secondary structure includes four short double-helical elements and three loops (D, anti-codon, and T loops). The record is from Rfam by way of RNAcentral. Lineage: Eukaryota; Metazoa; Chordata; Mammalia; Proboscidea; Elephantidae.